This 492-nucleotide ribosomal RNA is filed under the name uncultured bacterium. Its description in RNAcentral is "partial 16S ribosomal RNA". It matches the Rfam family "Bacterial small subunit ribosomal RNA", at positions 29 to 507 of the family's 1533-position model. The record is from RNAcentral.
AGUGAACGCUGGCGGUAGGCCUAACACAUGCAAGUCGAACGGCAGCACAGUAAGAGCUUGCUCUUACGGGUGGCGGGUGGCGGACGGGUGAGGAAUACAUCGGAAUCUACUUUUUCGUGGGGGAUAACGUAGGGAAACUUACGCUGAUACCGCAUACGACCUACGGGUGAAAGCAGGGGAUCUUCGGACCUUGCGCGAUUGAAUGAGCCGAUGUCGGAUUAGCUAGUUGGCGGGGUAAAGGCCCACCAAGGCGACGAUCCGUAGCUGGUCUGAGAGGAUGAUCAGCCACACUGGAACUGAGACACGGUCCAGACUCCUACGGGAGGCAGCAGUGGGGAAUAUUGGACAAUGGGCGCAAGCCUGAUCCAGCCAUACCGCGUGGGUGAAGAAGGCCUUCGGGUUGUAAAGCCCUUUUGUUGGGAAAGAAAAGCAGCAGGUUAAUACCCCGCUGUUCUGACGGUACCCAAAGAAUAAGCACCGGCUAACUUCGUG